Long non-coding RNA from Oreochromis niloticus (Nile tilapia), 1543 nucleotides. RefSeq lists it as uncharacterized. NCBI's taxonomy places the organism in Eukaryota, Metazoa, Chordata, Actinopteri, Cichliformes, Cichlidae. The transcript is spliced from 2 exons. The record is from RefSeq and is a predicted model, not a curated record.
AUAUAAUAGCAAAUGCCUUACUUUGGAAAAAAAAAUUGACCACUUUCAGAAAAAAAACCCCCCAAAAACCUUAUUCUUGCUGAAAAGUUCAACACCCACGAACUUGAUCGAGAUACGUCAAUAUGCUGGACCACUUAAGAGAACGAUGCUUGUAUACGUAUAAGGUGACGUGCCGCCAACGUCUCAAAGAGGGAGGGAUAUCGUCCUACAAAUAUGGGUGAUCAACCCACCCCCCCUUUACUAAAUUGGCCAAAUAACCAGAAACUACGACCCACACCCAAACCCAGGGCAUCAACGAGAAACCUGUGUCCAGAGCGCAAGAGAUGUCAAAUAAAAAGAAAAGAAAGAAAUGUACUGGAUGGGGGAUGGCUGAGAAGACCUGACAGCGCCUUGAAAUGGAGUGGAGGCAGGAGAGCACUAUAAACCCAAGAAGUCAUGAAGCCGAGCGUACCUCAACAAACCCCAAAUGUUGCCACGAUUCAAUCGACCUUUUGAGUCUUGCAGCCUGUGAUUUAGCCACACGUUACAAAAUCUUUAAACAGCUUUUAAUUUCAACUUUAUUGUAGCUUAGAAAAAUUACACAGUGACUUAUUAGUAAUCAUAGUCACCAGCCUUAUAUCUUGCACAACAAGGCAGAUAGUUCUGGCUUAGUAAUAUCUCAUUUUUACAAUAGAGCACUAUAAUCUAUCAAAUACACCAGCAGAACAAUGAUUUUUUUUAAUGCUUUGUCAUUUGCAAUAGAUUUUCAGCAAAUGUCCCACAGGCCUCCAGAAUCUAUGCAUCUCAUUCUCCUAUUUGCCAAGCAUAAAUCUUGAAUCAUUGUAGGAUAUAAGACAUGAUUAUACUCUGUAUUCUUCUAUAAACCCCUGACGUCUAACUACAAGCUGAAAUAUGUUUGUAUGCAAACAAAGAAAGUCAAGGGGCUAUGAUGGGCGAGGUGGGAUUUCCACAGCUCUUCUUCACUCUGAUGGAUGGAUGGAUCAGCGAUACCCAGAUGGAUGGAGAGAGCGACCGGGCACAGACACAGGAGGAGAAUGUGUGGCAAAAUCAAGGGAUUAGCACAGCAGGAGAUCAGUGAUGAUGUUUGAACUGCCAUUCCGAAACAUUUUAUCCUUAACCCCUAAAACAAAAGUGUACAAAUCUGGGUGAAAUCUCAAUACAUACAACAAAUACAUACAUAUGUAUAAAUAUGUAUCUUUAAGCUACACACGAACAAUUUCUCUCUAAAAAAAUAAAUAAAUAACGACAUAAUUCAUGCAACCCAAGCUUUGGAUACACUAGCUAUGCACAGAGGAUUUUAUUUUUUAAAGAAACUUCUUAGGGAGAUAGGAAUGCAAUUGAAGCUGUAUCCUUUGGUCAUAGAAACACUGAUGACAUCACCACUGGUACAAAAAAUUUCAGAUUUUAUGAAUCAGCAACUUGAAAAAUGAAGCCAACAAUGAAAAAAAAACCAAAUCUGUUCCUCUAAUGGCCACUUGAGGCUAUGGUCCCAUUUUAAAAUACCAGACUUUAUGAAUAAACAUGUUUAUCCUGUGAUACUAAA